GGGGGGAGAGCUCAGUGGUAAAGCAUGUGUUUAGCAUGCAUGAGGUCCUGGGUUCAAUCCUCAGUGCCUCUA
This 72-nucleotide transfer RNA is filed under the name Camelus bactrianus (Bactrian camel). It matches the Rfam family "tRNA". From Rfam's summary of the family: Transfer RNA (tRNA) molecules are approximately 80 nucleotides in length. Their secondary structure includes four short double-helical elements and three loops (D, anti-codon, and T loops). Further hydrogen bonds mediate the characteristic L-shaped molecular structure. tRNAs have two regions of fundamental functional importance: the anti-codon, which is responsible for specific mRNA codon recognition, and the 3' end, to which the tRNAs corresponding amino acid is attached (by aminoacyl-tRNA synthetases). tRNAs cope with the degeneracy of the genetic code in two manners: having more than one tRNA (with a specific anti-codon) for a particular amino acid; and 'wobble' base-pairing, i.e. permitting non-standard base-pairing at the 3rd anti-codon position. The record is from Rfam by way of RNAcentral. RNAcentral also lists the same sequence under 2 other names. Lineage: Eukaryota; Metazoa; Chordata; Mammalia; Artiodactyla; Camelidae.